RNAcentral lists this transfer RNA (74 nucleotides) under Scinax funereus (Moyobamba snouted treefrog). RNAcentral describes it as "tRNA-Leu". It matches the Rfam family "tRNA". Rfam says of the family: Transfer RNA (tRNA) molecules are approximately 80 nucleotides in length. Their secondary structure includes four short double-helical elements and three loops (D, anti-codon, and T loops). Lineage: Eukaryota; Metazoa; Chordata; Amphibia; Anura; Hylidae. RNAcentral also lists the same sequence under 1 other name. The record is from RNAcentral.
AGUUAACGUAGCAAAGCCAGGUUUUGCCAAAGAUCUAAGCCCUUUUUACAGAGGUUCAAAUCCUCUCGCUAACU